ACUAAGAUGAUUUUGGAUCCGACUGAGUGGCGAACUGGUGAGUAACACGUGGGUAACCUGCCCAGAAGAAGGGGAUAACACCUGGAAACAGGUGCUAAUACCGUAUAACAACAAAAACCGCAUGGUUUUUGUUUGAAAGGUGGCUUCGGCUAUCACUUCUGGAUGGUUCCGCGGCGCAUUAGCUAGUUGGUGAGGUAAAGGCCCACCAAGGCAAUGAUGCGUAGCAGACCUGAGAGGGUAAUCUGCCACAAUGGGACUGAGACACGGCCCAUACUCC
This 277-nucleotide ribosomal RNA is filed under the name uncultured Lactobacillus sp. RNAcentral's name for it is "partial 16S ribosomal RNA". It matches the Rfam family "Bacterial small subunit ribosomal RNA", at positions 66 to 339 of the family's 1533-position model. Lineage: Bacteria; Bacillati; Bacillota; Bacilli; Lactobacillales; Lactobacillaceae. The record is from RNAcentral.